UUUUCUCAAUCACAAUUCAUCAUAAGCAAAUAAUAAAGAAAACAAAGAGGUAGCACCAAGCUUACCCCGGCUUACAACUAUCACAAUUUGGCUCUUUGCUUACUUUCCUCAACCUAUUUAUUCUACCAAAAAGAUGAUUCGUCGGCCAGCGGAUUUCAAAGGUUAUGACCAUUUGAAUUCUUAACCAUUAAUUCCACUAACAACCUACUAUUAUCAACUAAAUUACCUAACUAUCAGUCUAAUUCUUAAGGUUGUCAAUAACCAACUAGUAACUUACCACAAAGUUUAUUUACCUAUUCUAUAUAGUCCCACUCCUAACUGUGCAGUGUCUUCGCAAACAUUAUUUAGCCUCAACUUAUAAAGACGUAGCAGCGUUAGCUUCUUCAGUAAAUGGUGUUGGCUUACCACCGUUUGAAUUGGUAACCUUCUUCUCUUUACAUCUUCAUCAUCUGCCUCAGUGUUCGAUGGUUCUCUAUCCAAACACAUCGUCCGAUCUUCAUUCAACAAACCCAAUUUCCGUACUUGAGACUCACGUCAGGAAAUUUGGUUGUCACGCUGUCGGGGUAGAGAGAGUUUGCCUCAAGAAAGCGCUGGGCUUCUGGCUGUCACUAAAUACUCAAUCAAGUUUGAAAUAUAAGGGUAACAAUUUUAUAUAUAUAAACUCCUCUCCUUUGGAGCAAUUACAUCAAUAUACAAGCCUUAAAAUCCAAAGAACACCAAAAUACUUGAUAAGGUGUUAUAAAAAACUUAUAUAUCCUUAUGAGGAAUUUUUCCCGAAGUUUAACAGCUCAUAACUUACGAUCUAACCGUCUAAACAACUCCAAAUUUUACAUGGAGUACUGAUAUAUCUUUACCAACUACCACACCAAAAUUCAACCGUAAAUUCGUCUUGGAUCUUGUGAUAUCUUCAAAACCCUAACUGUAGCUUCAAACCCUAGCUUUUUUACAUCCGUGUACAACUUCCUUCAUAUCUCACAAAGUAAUUCUUUAAAUACUAAAAAUUUUUGAUCUAAAGCUUUUUAACUCAAUUACACACACUUGUGGAAAUUUUGAGCCAAAAAUUCGUCCAGAAACUCAAGAUAUGGCUUCACCCAUAACUAGCAACAAAACGAUAUACUUACUGCCUUCAAAUUACAAGUGCUGUCUUCAACGCCUCAUAACUCCUUCACCCAAUCUUAGAAUUCACUAUACAGUAAGUAGAAUGUGUAGCCGAGAAAAUGCUCCCUCCAAAUCCAGUCGCCGAUCUUCUGUUGCUCUCCGUAUUCGUAUGUGAUGCCCAAAAGAAGUGACAGUAGGUACAAAAUUGACACCUUAUCUUUGAACAUUCAUAUCUUUUCCAUAAAAACUCGAAAUCACACAAAAUAUUCACCCAAAUUAUACCCAAAACCCUAAACCUUCUGACCCUAGCCUCAAAAUCUCGAAUGGCCUCGAAA
This 1433-nucleotide long non-coding RNA is filed under the name Physcomitrium patens. RNAcentral's name for it is "long non-coding RNA (PPAT_LNC005645)". The record is from RNAcentral. Lineage: Eukaryota; Viridiplantae; Streptophyta; Bryopsida; Funariales; Funariaceae.